RNAcentral lists this ribosomal RNA (412 nucleotides) under uncultured bacterium. RNAcentral's name for it is "bacterial SSU rRNA". It matches the Rfam family "Bacterial small subunit ribosomal RNA", at positions 505 to 916 of the family's 1533-position model. The record is from RNAcentral.
GUGCCAGCCGCCGCGGUAAUACGUAGGUGGCGAGCGUUGUCCGGAAUUACUGGGUGUAAAGGGUGCGUAGGCGGGCAGGCAAGUUGGAUGUGAAAUACCGGGGCUUAACUCCGGGGCUGCAUCCAAAACUGCAUGUCUUGAGUGAAGUAGAGGCAAGCGGAAUUCCCAGUGUAGCGGUGAAAUGCGUAGAGAUUGGGAGGAACACCAGUGGCGAAGGCGGCUUGCUGGGCUUUAACUGACGCUGAUGCACGAAAGCAUGGGGAGCAAACAGGAUUAGAUACCCUGGUAGUCCAUGCUGUAAACGAUGGAUACUAGGUGUGGGGGGACUGACCCCCUCCGUGCCGGAGUUAACACAAUAAGUAUCCCACCUGGGGAGUACGGCCGCAAGGUUGAAACUCAAAUAAAUUGACGG